GAUGAACGCUGGCGGCGGGCCUAAUACAUGCAAGUCGAGCGAACGGAGGAGAAUCUUUCUUCGCUUAUGUGACCGGCGGACGGGUGAGGAAUAGGAAGAUAACCGAUCGAGAGGACUGGGAUAAGGUCGGGGAACCUGAUAUAGUACCGGUUAUGAUUUAGAACGUGAGGGUUCAAAGGGCAAAAAGGUUUUGGCUGUGCCUAAGUAGGGUAUCCUCGUUGCAUUAGUUAGUUGGUACGGUAACGGCCUACCAAGGCAACGAUGCAUAGCCGAUCUGAGAGGGUGAUCGGUCACACUGGAACUGAGACCCGGUCCAGACUCCUACGGGAGGCAGCAGUAGGGAAUCUUCCGCAAUGGGCGAAAGCCUGACGCAGCAACGCCGCGUGGGUGAUGAAGGUCUUCGGAUCGUAAAACUCUGUUAUUAGGGAAGAACAUAUGUGUAAGUAACUGUUCACAUCUUGACGGUACCUAAUCAGAAAGCCCCGGCUAACUACGUG
RNAcentral lists this ribosomal RNA (497 nucleotides) under uncultured bacterium. RNAcentral's name for it is "partial 16S ribosomal RNA". It matches the Rfam family "Bacterial small subunit ribosomal RNA", at positions 28 to 507 of the family's 1533-position model. The record is from RNAcentral.